CCACUCGCAAGAGCAGCCGUUGGCCAGAGAGAAAAUAGUAAAAAGUAUCGGAAUCAAAAUGAUGGACAUCUGCGCCAGGGAUACACUAAACUAGCCGAGCUGCUUGUUCACGAGGGUCGUCUCCUGAGAAAGAGUUGAUCUUCUUUUGCGACAUAAUGAAAUUGGCAAACUAAUCCGUACCCGGUCCGCCAGCUCAUCCGCAAAGCAAUUCGAAGGAGAAAGCUAAUGCCAUCGCUGAUGGCCAUGCAGUUCCCUGAAAUUAUU
Priapulus caudatus is the source of this 264-nucleotide long non-coding RNA. RefSeq lists it as uncharacterized. The record is from RefSeq and is a predicted model, not a curated record. The transcript has 3 exons. Lineage: Eukaryota; Metazoa; Priapulida; Priapulimorpha; Priapulimorphida; Priapulidae.